RNAcentral lists this small RNA (129 nucleotides) under Providencia rustigianii. RNAcentral's name for it is "RtT sRNA". It matches the Rfam family "RtT RNA". Rfam says of the family: This family represents a bacterial cis-regulatory element known as RtT RNA. The record is from RNAcentral. Lineage: Bacteria; Pseudomonadati; Pseudomonadota; Gammaproteobacteria; Enterobacterales; Morganellaceae.
ACAUUGUACGUUGAGUGUAGGUGAGAAGCUGCGCUCAGGUUCGAGCCGAGCGAAGCGAGACAGCGUUGCGCUUGCCGCAACGACCCGAAGGGCGAGGGCAAAGCCCGAGUAAUCCUGCACGACCCACCA